RNAcentral lists this ribosomal RNA (637 nucleotides) under Sporobolomyces koalae. Its description in RNAcentral is "eukaryotic LSU rRNA". The stretch from base 216 to 369 matches the Rfam family "5.8S ribosomal RNA". The record is from RNAcentral. Lineage: Eukaryota; Fungi; Basidiomycota; Microbotryomycetes; Sporidiobolales; Sporidiobolaceae.
UGGGAGUAAAAGUCGUAACAAGGUUUCCGUAGGUGAACCUGCGGGAGGGUCAUUAGUGAAUAAAUAGGGUGUCCAACUUAACUUGGGACCCGACCUUCUCACAUCUAACCCUGUGCAUCUGUUUAUUAGGCGAAAGCGGCUCUUCGGGGCUGUGGCAACCUAUCAACUUACAAAACACGAGUCUAUGAAUGUAUUUAAUUUUUAUAACAAAUAAAAACUUUCAACAACGGGUCUCUUGGCUCUCGCAUCGAUGAAGAACGCAGCGAAAUGCGAUACGUAAUGUGAAUUGCAGAAUUCAGUGAAUCAUCGAAUCUUUGAACGCAUCUUGCGCUCUCUGGUAUUCCGGGGAGCAUGUCUGUUUGAGUGUCAUGAAUUCUUCAACCCAAUCUUUUCCUAGUAAUCGAUUGGUGUUUGGGUUCUGAGCGCUGCUGGCUUCGGCCUAGCUCGUUCGUAAUACAUCAGCAUCCCUAAUACAAGUUUGGGUUGACUUGGCGUGAUAGACUAUUCGCUAAGGGUUCAGUGGCAACACUGAGCCAACUUUAUCAAGGGAGCUUCUAAUUGAAAAGUCUACCUUUAGAUUAGAUCUCAAAUCAGGCAGGGUUACCCGCUGAACUUAAGCAUAUCAAUAAGCGGGGGG